GUAAGGAAUAUUGGUCAAUGGAGGCAACUCUGAACCAGCCAUGCCGCGUGCAGGAAGACGGCCCUCUGGGUUGUAAACUGCUUUUAUCCGGGAAUAAACCUGCCUUCGUGAAGGUAGCUGAAUGUACCGGAAGAAUAAGGAUCGGCUAACUCCGUGCCAGCAGCCGCGGUAAUACGGAGGAUCCAAGCGUUAUCCGGAUUUAUUGGGUUUAAAGGGUGCGUAGGCGGCCUGUUAAGUCAGGGGUGAAAGACGGUGGCUCAACCAUCGCAGUGCCCUUGAUACUGAUGGGCUUGAAUGGACUAGAGGUAGGCGGAAUGUGACAAGUAGCGGUGAAAUGCAUAGAUAUGUCACAGAACACCGAUUGCGAAGGCAGCUUACUAUGGUCCUAUUGACGCUGAGGCACGAAAGCGUGGGGAUCGAACAGGAUUAGAUACCCGAGUAGUCC
This 445-nucleotide ribosomal RNA is filed under the name uncultured bacterium. RNAcentral describes it as "partial 16S ribosomal RNA". It matches the Rfam family "Bacterial small subunit ribosomal RNA", at positions 354 to 796 of the family's 1533-position model. The record is from RNAcentral.